RNAcentral lists this ribosomal RNA (253 nucleotides) under uncultured bacterium. Its description in RNAcentral is "partial 16S ribosomal RNA". It matches the Rfam family "Bacterial small subunit ribosomal RNA", at positions 524 to 776 of the family's 1533-position model. The record is from RNAcentral.
UACGGAGGGUGCAAGCGUUAAUCGGAAUUACUGGGCGUAAAGCGUGCGCAGGCGGCGUUGUAAGACAGGUGUGAAAUCCCCGGGCUCAACCUGGGAACUGCAUGUGUGACUGCAUCGCUGGAGUGCGGCAGAGGGGGAUGGAAUUCCGCGUGUAGCAGUGAAAUGCGUAGAUAUGCGGAGGAACACCGAUGGCGAAGGCAAUCCCCUGGGCCUGCACUGACGCUCAUGCACGAAAGCGUGGGGAGCAAACAGG